This is a long non-coding RNA of Fundulus heteroclitus (mummichog), 684 nucleotides long. RefSeq lists it as uncharacterized. The record is from RefSeq and is a predicted model, not a curated record. NCBI's taxonomy places the organism in Eukaryota, Metazoa, Chordata, Actinopteri, Cyprinodontiformes, Fundulidae. The transcript is spliced from 3 exons.
UGGUGCUGGCUGGUGCUGGCCAUGGCUGCUGGUGGUGUCUGCAGGUAGUGGCUGCUGGUGGCGACUGCUGACUGCUGGAAUAAGAGGAGACUGGAGGCUGUGGAGACUGCGGACGGUGUGCCGGGAAUGGAGAGGCCGAGUACAUCCAUGGCAACCAGUAAGGUGUUUGUCAGUGGCCUAGAUGGUAUGACCUUAGGUGAGGAGGUCUGCUGUGUGGAAAUCGCCUUCUUGGUCUGACUCUUGCUGCCAAGUUACCCCUUAUUACGGCUGUUUGCCUUCCUCUCAGCUCCGAUGCACUUUGAGUGAAUCCUUAACCUCAGCCUGAUGUAUGUUGAAAGGAUUUUUUUUUUCAGCUCAUGGCAUGAGGGAAAGUUGCUGUCCAGACUCAUGGCCUCUCUUUCCAGCUGUUCCACUACGUUGAAGGAUUCCAUAAGGGAAUCACUCGUCUUGGAACGGAAGAGCUGCUCCACGUGCUGCAGGAGAGUAAACAGCUUAUUGGAUGGCCGUGCACACUGGCAUUCCUCACAAAGCGAAAAGCUGAUGACCCUCUUCGCUAUGUAUCCUGCCAGGUGGUAGCAGACACAAGACUCAGCCUUUGUGGUCUGAUGCAUCAUCCAGAUCUUGCUGGACCACCAGUAUCGUUGUUGUGGCCAUCACAGGUUUCAGUGGAGCCCCCCCCCCCAA